Molecule: ribosomal RNA, 497 nt
Filed under: uncultured bacterium
Lineage: Bacteria
Description: partial 16S ribosomal RNA
Rfam family: Bacterial small subunit ribosomal RNA
Source: RNAcentral
GAUGAACGCUGGCGGCGUGCCUAAUACAUGCAAGUCGAGCGAACAGAUGAGGAGCUUGCUCCUCUGACGUUAGCGGCGGACGGGUGAGUAACACGUGGAUAACCUACCUAUAAGACUGGGAUAACUUCGGGAAACCGGAGCUAAUACCGGAUAAUAUAUUGAACCGCAUGGUUCAAUAGUGAAAGACGGUUUUGCUGUCACUUAUAGAUGGAUCCGCGCCGCAUUAGCUAGUUGGUAAGGUAACGGCUUACCAAGGCAACGAUGCGUAGCCGACCUGAGAGGGUGAUCGGCCACACUGGAACUGAGCCACGGUCCAGACUCCUACGGGAGGCAGCAGUAGGGAAUCUUCCGCAAUGGGCGAAAGCCUGACGGAGCAACGCCGCGUGAGUGAUGAAGGUCUUCGGAUCGUAAAACUCUGUUAUUAGGGAAGAACAAAUGCGUAAGUAACUAUGCACGUCUUGACGGUACCUAAUCAGAAAGCCACGGCUAACUACGUG